This 325-nucleotide long non-coding RNA is filed under the name Prunus persica (peach). RNAcentral's name for it is "long non-coding RNA (PPER_LNC005154)". The record is from RNAcentral. Lineage: Eukaryota; Viridiplantae; Streptophyta; Magnoliopsida; Rosales; Rosaceae.
UUCAAUUGGGUGGUGCUGGUGGUUUAGCUGGUGAUGAUGGUUCGAUUGACUAAUUGGGUGAUGGUGAUGCUUCGAUUAGGUAUGUGGUGGUUGGUUAUGGGUUUGAUGUUGGUGGUUUGAUGGUUGUGGCAUUGGGGUAAUGGUGGUAUGUUUGAUGUUUCGGGCUCGUGUGUUUGAUGGUGAUGGUGUUAUUCAGCCGGACUCCGUGUACAAAAUAGCACCCUCGCUAUUUAGCGAACCAAGUUUUGGGCUCGCUAUAUUAGACACGCGAGUUCAAUAUUUUUUUACUCAUUGGACUAUAUAAUCUCAUUUAACUUAAUCCCCU